GCGGUACCGGUUCACGCCUGCGGGCGACCCGGCGACC
Molecule: non-coding RNA, 37 nt
Filed under: unclassified sequences
Description: L31-Actinobacteria ribosomal protein leader
Rfam family: L31-Actinobacteria ribosomal protein leader
Source: RNAcentral